UAGAGAGAAGCUUGCUUCUCUUGAGAGCGGCGGACGGGUGAGUAAUGCCUAGGAAUCUGCCUGGUAGUGGGGGAUAACGUUCGGAAACGGACGCUAAUACCGCAUACGUCCUACGGGAGAAAGCAGGGGACCUUCGGGCCUUGCGCUAUCAGAUGAGCCUAGGUCGGAUUAGCUAGUUGGUGAGGUAAUGGCUCACCAAGGCGACGAUCCGUAACUGGUCUGAGAGGAUGAUCAGUCACACUGGAACUGAGACACGGUCCAGACUCCUACGGGAGGCAGCAGUGGGGAAUAUUGGACAAUGGGCGAAAGCCUGAUCCAGCCAUGCCGCGUGUGUGAAGAAGGUCUUCGGAUUGUAAAGCACUUUAAGUUGGGAGGAAGGGUUGUAGAUUAAUACUCUGCAAUUUUGACGUUACCGACAGAAUAAGCACCGGCUAACUCUGUGCCAGCAGCCGCGGUAAUACAGAGGGUGCAAGCGUUAAUCGGAAUUACUGGGCGUAAAGCGCGCGUAGGUGGUUUGUUAAGUUGGAUGUGAAAUCCCCGGGCUCAACCUGGGAACUGCAUUCAAAACUGACUGACUAGAGUAUGGUAGAGGGUGGUGGAAUUUCCUGUGUAGCGGUGAAAUGCGUAGAUAUAGGAAGGAACACCAGUGGCGAAGGCGACCACCUGGACUAAUACUGACACUGAGGUGCGAAAGCGUGGGGAGCAAACAGGAUUAGAUACCCUGGUAGUCCACGCCGUAAACGAUGUCAACUAGCCGUUGGAAGCCUUGAGCUUUUAGUGGCGCAGCUAACGCAUUAAGUUGACCGCCUGGGGAGUACGGCCGCAAGGUUAAAACUCAAAUGAAUUGACGGGGGCCCGCACAAGCGG
RNAcentral lists this ribosomal RNA (867 nucleotides) under uncultured bacterium. RNAcentral describes it as "bacterial SSU rRNA". It matches the Rfam family "Bacterial small subunit ribosomal RNA", at positions 69 to 932 of the family's 1533-position model. The record is from RNAcentral.